AAACCUUACUAGGGUAGGACAUCAGGAUGAUUGACAAGUUGCUUGGUUUUUCUUGAUUUGAUGGGUGGUGGUGCAUGGCCGAUCUUAGUUGGUGGGGUGACUUGUCUGGUUAAUUUCGAUAACGAACGAGAUCCGAACCGUUUAGUUGUGGUGUCAUAGGGCUUUAGCUCUCGGGUGACAAACUUAAAUGGACCGACUGUUCAAGCAGUAGGAGGUGACGGGCUAAAU
RNAcentral lists this ribosomal RNA (228 nucleotides) under uncultured marine eukaryote. RNAcentral's name for it is "partial 18S ribosomal RNA". It matches the Rfam family "Eukaryotic small subunit ribosomal RNA", at positions 1210 to 1456 of the family's 1831-position model. The record is from RNAcentral.